RNAcentral lists this ribosomal RNA (265 nucleotides) under uncultured bacterium. RNAcentral's name for it is "partial 16S ribosomal RNA". It matches the Rfam family "Bacterial small subunit ribosomal RNA", at positions 793 to 1055 of the family's 1533-position model. The record is from RNAcentral.
GUCCACGCUGUAAACGAUGUACGUUCGCUGCUAGAGAGUAUCGACCCUCUUUAGUAGCUAAGCUAACGCGUUAAACGUACCGCCUGGGGAGUACGGUCGCAAGACUAAAACUCAAAGGAAUUGACGGGGACCCCGCACAAGCGGUGGAGCAUGUGGUUUAAUUCGACGAUAAGCGAGGAACCUUACCAAGGCUUGACAUGUAGCUGCAUCACUCAGAAAUGAGUGCGCCUUCGAGGGUGCUACACAGGUGCUGCACGGUUGUCGU